UGGGGAAUAUUGCACAAUGGACGGAAGUUUGAUGCAGCGACGCCGCGUGGAGGGUGUAGGCCUUCGGGUUGUGAACUCCUUUUUCUCGCGAAAAAGGCACAGUUUUGGCUGUGUUGAUGGUAGUGGGGGAAGAAGCGCCGGCUAACUACGUGCCAGCAGCCGCGGUAAUACGUAGGGCGCGAGCGUUGUCCGGAUUUAUUGGGCGUAAAGAGCUCGUAGGUGGUUCGUCGCGUCUGUCGUGAAAGCCAGCAGCUUAACUGUUGGUCUGCGGUGGGUACGGGCGGGCUUGAGUGCGGUAGGGGUGACUGGAAUUCCUGGUGUAGCGGUGGAAUGCGCAGAUAUCAGGAGGAACACCGAUGGCGAAGGCAGGUCACUGGGCCGUUACUGACCCUGAGGAGCGAAAGCGUGGGGAGCGAACAGG
Molecule: ribosomal RNA, 421 nt
Filed under: Fusobacteriota bacterium
Lineage: Bacteria; Fusobacteriati; Fusobacteriota
Description: Fusobacteria bacterium partial 16S ribosomal RNA
Rfam family: Bacterial small subunit ribosomal RNA
Source: RNAcentral